UGUGGGAUAGUUUAAUUGGCAGAACAGCGGAUUCUGGCUCCGCCAGUCUUGGUUCGAGUCCAAGUCCCACAGCUA
This 75-nucleotide transfer RNA is filed under the name Chloroflexota bacterium. RNAcentral describes it as "Chloroflexi bacterium tRNA-Gln". It matches the Rfam family "tRNA". From Rfam's summary of the family: Transfer RNA (tRNA) molecules are approximately 80 nucleotides in length. Their secondary structure includes four short double-helical elements and three loops (D, anti-codon, and T loops). Lineage: Bacteria; Bacillati; Chloroflexota. The record is from RNAcentral.